Molecule: transfer RNA, 26 nt
Filed under: Hippotragus niger (sable antelope)
Lineage: Eukaryota; Metazoa; Chordata; Mammalia; Artiodactyla; Bovidae
Description: partial tRNA-Leu
Source: RNAcentral
ACUUUUAAAGGAUAGCAGUUAUCCGU